RNAcentral lists this ribosomal RNA (253 nucleotides) under uncultured bacterium. RNAcentral's name for it is "partial 16S ribosomal RNA". It matches the Rfam family "Bacterial small subunit ribosomal RNA", at positions 524 to 776 of the family's 1533-position model. The record is from RNAcentral.
UACGGGGGGGGCAAGCGUUGUUCGGAAUUACUGGGCGUAAAGGGCGCGUAGGCGGCUUACCAAGUCAGGGGUGAAAUCCGGCAGCUUAACUGUCGAAGUGCCUUUGAUACUGGUGAGCUCGAGGGAGGUAGGGGUCCGUGGAACUUCCGGUGGAGCGGUGAAAUGCGUUGAUAUCGGAAGGAACGCCGGUGGCGAAAGCGACGGACUGGAUCUCUUCUGACGCUGAGGCGCGAAAGCUAGGGGAGCAAACGGG